AACAGGAUUAGAUACCCUGGUAGUCCACGCUGUAAACGGUGGGUGCUAGGUGUAGGGGGUAUUCCACGCCCUCUGUGCCGCAGCUAACGCAUUAAGCACCCCGCCUGGGGAGUACGGCCGCAAGGCUAAAACUCAAAGGAAUUGACGGGGGCCCGCACAAGCAGCGGAGCAUGUGGCUUAAUUCGACGCAACGCGAAGAACCUUACCAAGGCUUGACAUGCAGGGAAAUCUCCCAGAGAUGGGAGGUCCGCAAGGGUCCUGCACAGGUGGUGCAUGGUUGUCGUCAGCUCGUGUCGUGAGAUGUUGGGUUAAGUCCCGCAACGAGCGCAACCCUCGUUCUAUGUUGCCAGCGCGUUAUGGCGGGGACUCAUAGGAGACUGCCGGGGUCAACUCGGAGGAAGGUGGGGACGACGUCAAAUCAUCAUGCCCCUUAUGUCUUGGGCUGCACACAUGCUACAAUGGCCGGUACAAAGGGCUGCUAAACCGCGAGGUGGAGCGAAUCCCAAAAAGCCGGUCUCAGUUCGGAUUGGGGUCUGCAACUCGACCCCAUGAAGUCGGAGUUGCUAGUAAUCGCAGAUCAGCAACGCUGCGGUGAAUACGUUCCCGGGCCUUGUACACACCGCCCGUCACGUCACGAAAGUCGGUAACACCCGAAGCCAGUGGCCCAACUCGCAAGAGAGGGAGCUGUCGAAGGUGGGAUCGGCGAUUGGGACGAAGUCGUAACAAGGUAACC
RNAcentral lists this ribosomal RNA (733 nucleotides) under uncultured bacterium. Its description in RNAcentral is "bacterial SSU rRNA". It matches the Rfam family "Bacterial small subunit ribosomal RNA", at positions 771 to 1501 of the family's 1533-position model. The record is from RNAcentral.